Molecule: ribosomal RNA, 973 nt
Filed under: bacterium enrichment culture
Lineage: Bacteria
Description: bacterial SSU rRNA
Rfam family: Bacterial small subunit ribosomal RNA
Source: RNAcentral
GAGUUUGAUCCUGGCUCAGGAUGAACGCUGGCGGCGUGCCUAAUACAUGCAAGUCGAGCGGUAAGGCCCUUCGGGGUACACGAGCGGCGGACGGCUGAGUAACACGUAGGAACGUACCCCAAAGUGAGGGAUAAGCACCAGAAAUGGUGUCUAAUACCGCAUGUGCUCUAAGGAGUAAAGCUCCGGCGCUUUGGGAACGGCCUGCGCAUGAUUAGCUAGAUGGUGAGGUAAUGGCUCACCAUGGCGACGAUCAUUAGCUGGUCUGAGAGGAUGAUCAGCCAGACUGGGACUGAGACACGGCCCAGACUCCUACGGGAGGCAGCAGUAGGGAAUUUUCCACAAUGGGCGAAAGCCUGAUGGAGCAACGCCGCGUGCAGGAUGAAUGCCUUCGGGUUGUAAACUGCUUUUAUAUGUGACGAAUAUGACGGUAGCAUAUGAAUAAGGAUCGGCUAACUCCGUGCCAGCAGCCGCGGUCAUACGGAGGAUCCAAGCGUUAUCCGGAAUUACUGGGCGUAAAGAGUUGCGUAGGCGGCAUAGUAAGCAGAUAGUGAAAGCGUGUGGCUCAACCAUACUCACAUUAUCUGAACUGCUAAGCUAGAGGACGAGAGAGGUCACUGGAAUUCCUAGUGUAGGAGUGAAAUCCGUAGAUAUUAGGAGGAACACCAAUGGCGUAGGCAGGUGACUGGCUCGUUCCUGACGCUCAGGCACGAAAGCGUGGGGAGCAAACGGGAUUAGAUACCCCGGUAGUCCACGCCGUAAACGAUGGAUGCUAGCUGUUAGAGGUAUCGACCCCUCUAGUAGCGAAGCUAACGCGUUAAGCAUCCCGCCUGUGGAGUACGGUCGCAAGACUAAAACAUAAAGGAAUUGACGGGGACCCGCACAAGCGGUGGAGCGUGUUGUUUAAUUCGAUGGUAAGCGAAGAACCUUACCCAGGCUUGACAUCCUUGGAGCACUGCGAAAGCAGCGUGUGCCU